RNAcentral lists this ribosomal RNA (453 nucleotides) under uncultured bacterium. RNAcentral describes it as "bacterial SSU rRNA". It matches the Rfam family "Bacterial small subunit ribosomal RNA", at positions 340 to 786 of the family's 1533-position model. The record is from RNAcentral.
UACGGAAGGCAGCAGUGGGGAAUAUUGCACAAUGGGCGCAAGCCUGAUGCAGCCAUGCCGCGUGUAUGAAAAAGGCCUUCGGGUUGUAAAGUACUUUCAGUCGUGAGGAAGGUGUUAAGGUUAAUAACCUUAGCAAUUGACGUUAGCGACAGAAGAAGCACCGGCUAACUCCGUGCCAGCAGCCGCGGUAAUACGGAGGGUGCGAGCGUUAAUCGGAAUUACCGGGCGUAAAGGGCACGCAGGCGGUUAAUUAAGUUGGAUGUGAAAUCCCCGGGCUUAACCUGGGAAUGGCAUUCAAGACUGGUUAGCUAGAGUCUUGUAGAGGGGGUAGAAUUCCAUGUGUAGCGGUGAAAUGCGUAGAGAUGUGGAGGAAUACCGGUGGCGAAGGCGGCCCCUGGACAAAGACUGACGCUCAUGUGCGAAAGCGUGGGGAGCAAACAGGGAUUAGAUACC